UGUCCAGAGAUGGGAAUCGAACCCACAGUGUUCAACUUACCGGGCAGAUACCAUGUCCACUAGGCGACCCUAGAC
This 75-nucleotide transfer RNA is filed under the name Cordylochernes scorpioides. RNAcentral's name for it is "tRNA-Thr". The record is from RNAcentral. Lineage: Eukaryota; Metazoa; Arthropoda; Arachnida; Pseudoscorpiones; Chernetidae.